GACGAACGCUGGCGGCGUGCUUAACACAUGCAAGUCGAACGGAAAGGCCCCCACUUUUUUGGUGGGGGUGCUCGAGUGGCGAACGGGUGAGUAACACGUGGGUGAUCUGCCCUGUACUUCGGGAUAAGCUUGGGAAACUGGGUCUAAUACCGGAUAGGACCAUGGUUUAGUGUCUCAUGGUGGAAAAAUUAUUGUUUUGGUGCAGGAUGAGCUCGCGGCCUAUCAGCUUGUUGGUGGGGUAAUGGCCUACCAAGGCGUCGACGGGUAGCCGGCCUGAGAGGGUGGACGGCCACAUUGGGACUGAGAUACGGCCCAGACUCCUACGGGAGGCAGCAGUGGGGAAUAUUGCACAAUGGACGCAAGCCUGAUGCAGCGACGCCGCGUGGGGGAUGACGGCCUUCGGGUUGUAAACUCCUUUCGUUAGGGACGAAGCCGCACCUUUUUUGGGUGUGGUGACGGUACCUUUGUGAAGAAGCGCCGGCUAACUACGUG
This 492-nucleotide ribosomal RNA is filed under the name uncultured bacterium. Its description in RNAcentral is "partial 16S ribosomal RNA". It matches the Rfam family "Bacterial small subunit ribosomal RNA", at positions 28 to 507 of the family's 1533-position model. The record is from RNAcentral.